Molecule: long non-coding RNA, 941 nt
Organism: Larimichthys crocea (large yellow croaker)
Lineage: Eukaryota; Metazoa; Chordata; Actinopteri; Sciaenidae
Exons: 3
Source: RefSeq, a predicted model, not a curated record
CAUGAUUGCUACAACAAGUUACGACACUGUCACGUUCAAAUAAGGGAUAAAAUCUUAAAAGUGGAAGAUGUUUGUUACAGAAAGCUUCACUAAAACACUUUGAAAUCCUACUCCGAGGCACACAGACAGUUCUCAGGGUGAGUGCUGCGCCUGUGCUGAAGUGUCCCAUUGAGCUUGCUGAAGUGGACUUAUCUCCGACCAUCCCUCCUUGCAUCUCACUCUUCCCUGGAUCUAGACAGGGCUGAAGCGCCACACUCACCCUGCUCUCUUCACACCAGAGAGGCCUCUCUCUUCUUCUGGGCUCUGUCUCACACUUUACAGCCCCUCAACCACACAUCCUCCUUGCAGUUGGCAGAGUGCUGCUUGAUACUCAAGGCUGUGGAUUCCACUGGGAAGGUGAGAAAGAAGGGGGAGGAUGGACGAAGGGAUGAAGAGAGAGGUGGACAAAGGGAUGAGCAGGGAUGAGGAAGAACUGGACAGAGCUUCUGAGUUAUGAAGGUGUGGAUAUCAAUAGUCUUUGCCUGAGAGCGUUUCAUCCAUCAAUCAGCCAAUCAGAAAUGUCAUAACUGACUAGUGAAUUGUGUAAAGGUUGAUCAACACUUCCUCUGACCAUGGGGUUGUGUAUCUGUGUUUGUGUAUGUGUAUGUGUGUGUUGACAGAGACUGAUAGAGGUCAGGUGGUCACAGAACGACCAUGUCCCCAGGGUAUAAGGAUAUUAGCUUCCACAGACAUCACAGGGGAGGCCUGCUGUGUUAUCUGACUACCAAUGCACACACACUGACAUUCACACACACACACAGACACACUAGUCAUGCAUUAACAUAUACACAACACACACAUAACACCCUUAAAACAUAACACAGUCGGGGCAAUCCAUCAACAUCCACGAGAAACUGCUUUUCUGCAUCUUUCAGUCCAGUCCACCUUCUUCUCUCCUUUUG